CCUACGGGAGGCAGCAGUAGGGAAUCUUCCACAAUGGACGAAAGUCUGAUGGAGCAACGCCGCGUGAGUGAAGAAGGUUCUCGGAUCGUAAAACUCUGUUGUGAGGGAAGAACAAGUACCGGAGUAACUGCCGGUACCUUGACGGUACCUCAUUAGAAAGCCACGGCUAACUACGUGCCAGCAGCCGCGGUAAUACGUAGGUGGCAAGCGUUGUCCGGAACCAUUGGGCGUAAAGCGCGCGCAGGCGGUCCCUUAAGUCUGAUGUGAAAGCCCACGGCUCAACCGUGGAGGGUCAUUGGAAACUGGGGGACUUGAGUGCAGAAGAGGAAAGCGGAAUUCCAAGUGUAGCGGUGAAAUGCGUAGAGAUUUGGAGGAACACCAGUGUCGAAGGCGGCUUUCUGGUCUGUAACUGACGCUGAGGCGCGAAAGCGUGGGGAGCAAACAGGAUUAGAUACCCUGGUAGUCCACGCCGUAAACGAUGAGUGCUAAGUGUUAGGGGGUUUCCGCCCCUUAGUGCUGCAGCUAACGCAUUAAGCACUCCGCCUGGGGAGUACGGUCGCAAGACUGAAACUCAAAGGAAUUGACGG
This 587-nucleotide ribosomal RNA is filed under the name uncultured bacterium. RNAcentral's name for it is "bacterial SSU rRNA". It matches the Rfam family "Bacterial small subunit ribosomal RNA", at positions 338 to 916 of the family's 1533-position model. The record is from RNAcentral.